This 2917-nucleotide ribosomal RNA is filed under the name activated sludge metagenome. Its description in RNAcentral is "bacterial LSU rRNA". It matches the Rfam family "Bacterial large subunit ribosomal RNA". The record is from RNAcentral.
UGAAGGAAGAAAGGGCAUGCAGAGGAUGCCUAGGUGGCAGGUGGCGAAGAAGGGCGUGGCAAGCUGCGAAAAGCCCGGAGGAGCUGCACGCGAGCGUAGAUACCGGGAUACCCGAAUGGGGCAACCUGCAUGGGAGUAAUCCCAUGCGCGUAAGAGCGAUACCCGGGGAAGUGAAACAUCUCAGUACCCGGAGGAGAAGAAAUCAAACGAGAUUCCCCAAGUAGAGGCGAUCGAACGGGGAGUAGCCUAAACCGAUGAUGAAUCGGGGUAGUGGGACACAGUUAGGCUGAGUCCGCACUGAAUUGAUGCAUAGCUGAACAGUCUGGGAAGGCUGACCGUAGAAGGUGAUAGUCCUGUAAGCGAAAUGCAUUGAGUAAGUGUGACUGUGAUCCCGAGUAGCGCGGGACUCGAGGAAUCCCGCGUGAAUCAGGGGGGACCACCCUCCAAGGCUAAAUACGACCUGCCGACCGAUAGAGAAACCAGUACCGUGAGGGAAAGGUGAAAAGCCCCCCGGAAGGGGAGUGAAAUAGACCUGAAACUGCAUGCCUACAGGAAGUCGGAGCCGGAAACGGUGACGAUGUGCCUUUUGAUUAAUGAGCCUGGGAGUUAUCGCGGCUGGCGAGGUUAAGCCGAUAGAGGUGUAGCCGAAGCGAAAGCGAGUCCGAAAAGGGCGUGGAGUCAGCUGCGACAGACCCGAAGCCGGGUGAGCUACCCAUGGGCAGGAUGAAGGUGAGGUGAAACUCACUGGAGGUCCGAACCGGUGGAUCGUGAAAAAUCCUCGGAUGACUUGUGGGUAGGAGUGAAAAGCUAACCGAACUCGGUGAUAGCUGGUUCUCUCCGAAAUGCAUUGAGGUGCAGCCUUGAUCGUUCUGUGUAGGAGGUAGAGCGCUGGUAGGGCUAGUGGGGUAACCUGCGAACCCUGUCAAACUACGAAUGCCUACACACGAGAGAUCAGGAGUGAGCCCGUAGGGGAUAAGCUCUACGGACAAAAGGGGAACAACCCAGACCGUCGGCUAAGGGCCCGGAGAGGUGGCUAAGUGUGAAGAGGAAGGAAGUGGUACGUCCUAGACAACCGGGAUGUUGGCUUAGAAGCAGCCAUCAUUAAAAGAGUGCGUAACAGCUCACCGGUCGAGACGUGCUGCGCCGAAAAUGUGCGGGGCUGAAGCCACCCCCCGAAGCCACGGAAUCUGAAAAGAUUGGUAGGAGAGCGUUCCGCAGUAGGGAGAAGGUAGACUCGUGAGAGCUACUGGACGAGGCGGAAGUGAGAAUCCAGGCAUGAGUAUACGAAAGGAUGGUGAGAAUCCAUCCCCCCGAAAGCCUAAGGAUACCUGGGGAAGGGUCGUCCGCCCAGGGUGAGUCGGGACCUAAGGAAAACCCGAAAGGGGUAUUCGAUGGAAAACCGGUUAAUAUUCCGGUACCAGUGUAUAACGCAUAUCGUGGGCGGGGACGCAGGAGGUUAAGUGCCGGGGACAAAUGGCAAAUCCCUCCAAGCGGCGAGGUGAUGAGGCUUGUAGGUAAAUCCGCAGGCUGAGCUGAGCCGUGAAGGGGAGGUCUCGAAAGGGGCCAACGGCACCGUGAUCACACUGCCAAGAAAAGCCGCGCACGGUUGUUGUGCACUGCCCGUUCCGAAAACCGACACAGGUAGGCGGGCUGAGAAAGCUAAGGGGAGCGGGAUAACCCUUGCCAAGGAACUCGGCAAAUUGACCUCGUAACUUCGGGAGAAGAGGUGCUACGGAAGGUUGAAUUCAGGGGAAGCCGCGAGGUGGAAACUGAAGGAGGCCGAGGUAGUCGCAGAGGAUAGGCCCUAGCAACUGUUUACCAAAAACACAGGUCUCUGCUAACUCGAUGAGAGGAAGUAUAGGGACUGACGCCUGCCCGGUGCUGGAAGGUUAAGGGGAGGGGUGCAAGCUCCGAACCGAAGCCCCAGUAAACGGCGGCCGUAACUAUAACGGUCCUAAGGUAGCGAAAUUCCUUGUCGGGCAAGUUCCGACCUGCAUGAAUGGCGUAAUGACUGGGGCACUGUCUCGGCAGGGGACCCGGUGAAAUUUCAAUCUGGGUGAAGAUGCCCAGAACCUGCAGCUAGACGGAGAGACCCCGUGGAGCUUUACUGUAACCUGGUAUUGUGCUCUGUUGCGGCGUGUACAGGAUAGGUGGGAGGCGGAGAAGCGUGCUCGCAAGGGUGCGCGGAGCCGACGGUGGGAUACCACCCUCGUCGUAGCGGAGUUCUAACCGAUGUGUGUGAAGAGCGCACAAGGGACAGUGCCAGGAGGGCAGUUUGACUGGGGCGGUCGCCUCCCAAAGAGUAACGGAGGCGUGCAAAGCUCGGCUCAGGUGGGUUGGAAAUCCACCGAUGAGUGCAAGGGCAAAAGCUGGGCUGACUGCGAGACCGACGGGUCGAGCAGAGACGAAAGUCGGUCCUAGUGACCCGGCGACUCCGAGUGGAAGGGUCGUCGAUCAACGGACAAAAGUUACCCCGGGGAUAACAGGCUAGUCUAGCCCGAGAGUUCACAUCGACGGCUAGGCUCGGCACCUCGAUGUCGGCUCAUCCCAUCCUGGGGCUGAAGCAGGUCCCAAGGGUUAGGCUGUUCGCCUAUUAAAGGGGUACGUGAGCUGGGUUCAGACCGUCGUGAGACAGGUCGGUCCCUAUCUGCUGCGGGCGAUAGAGGCUUGAGGAGGGUCGCCCUUUGUACGAGAGGACCAGGGUGAGGGAGCCACUGGUGUACCAGCUGUUCUGCCAAGGGCAUACGCUGGGUAGCUACGCUCCUGAGCGAUAACCGCUGAAAGCAUCUAAGCGGGAAGCGCGCUCCAAGAUGAGGCCUCUUGGGUCGGUUCGAGAAGAGGACCUUGAUAGGCCGAUGGUGGAAGCACAGCGAUGUGUGGAGCCAAGCGGUACUAAUAGACCCGUUACCUUCACCUA